This 568-nucleotide ribosomal RNA is filed under the name uncultured Williamsia sp. RNAcentral's name for it is "bacterial SSU rRNA". It matches the Rfam family "Bacterial small subunit ribosomal RNA", at positions 338 to 916 of the family's 1533-position model. The record is from RNAcentral. Lineage: Bacteria; Bacillati; Actinomycetota; Actinomycetes; Mycobacteriales; Nocardiaceae.
CCUACGGGAGGCAGCAGUGGGGAAUGUUGCACAAUGGGCGCAAGCCUGAUGCAGCGACGCCGCGUGAGGGAUGACGGCCUUCGGGUUGUAAACCUCUUUCACCAGGGGCGAAGCGAGAGUGACGGUACCUGGAGAAGAAGCACCGGCCAACUACGUGCCAGCAGCCGCGGUAAUACGUAGGGUGCGAGCGUUGUCCGGAAUUACUGGGCGUAAAGAGCUCGUAGGCGGUUUGUCGCGUCGUUCGUGAAAACUUGGGGCUUAACUUCAAGCGUGCGGGCGAUACGGGCAGACUUGAGUACUACAGGGGAGACUGGAAUUCCUGGUGUAGCGGUGAAAUGCGCAGAUAUCAGGAGGAACACCGGUGGCGAAGGCGGGUCUCUGGGUAGUAACUGACGCUGAGGAGCGAAAGCGUGGGUAGCGAACAGGAUUAGAUACCCUGGUAGUCCACGCCGUAAACGGUGGGUACUAGGUGUGGGUCCCUUUUCACGGGAUCCGUGCCGUAGCUAACGCAUUAAGUACCCCGCCUGGGGAGUACGGCCGCAAGGUUAAAACUCAAAGGAAUUGACGG